Molecule: long non-coding RNA, 1504 nt
Organism: Oncorhynchus tshawytscha (Chinook salmon)
Lineage: Eukaryota; Metazoa; Chordata; Actinopteri; Salmoniformes; Salmonidae
Source: Ensembl
UGAGAGGGUAGAGAUGAGUGAGAGGGUAGAGAUGAGUGAGAGGGUAGAGAUGAGUGAGAGGAGAGAGAUGAGUGAGAGGGUAGAGAUGAGUGAGAGGGUAGAGAUGAGUGAGAGGGUAGAGAUGAGUGAGAGGAUAGAGAUGAGUGAGAGGGUAGAGAUGAAGGACAGGGUAGAGAUGAGUGAGAGGACAGGGUAGAGAUGAGUGAGAGGACAGGGUAGAGAUGAGUGAGAGGACAGGGUAGAGAUGAGUGAGAGGAUAGAGAUGAGUGAGAGGGUAGAGAUGAGUGAGAGGAUAGAGAUGAGUGAGAGGGUAGAGAUGAGUGAGAGGACAGGGUAGAGAUGAGUGAGAGGACAGAGGGUAGAGAUGAGUGAGAGGACAGAGGGUAGAGAUGAGUGAGAGGACAGAGGGUAGAGAUGAGAGAGAGGAUAGAGAUGAGAGAGAGCAUAGAGAUGAGUGAGAGGAUAGAGAUGAGAGAGAGGAUAGAGAUGAGUGAGAGGGGUAGAGAUGAGUGAGAGGGUAGAGAUGAGACAGAGGGUAGAGAUGAGUGAGAGGACAGAGGGUAGAGAUGAGUGAGAGGACAGAGGGUAGAGAUGAGUGAGAGGGUAGAGAUGAGUGAGAUGAAUGAGAAGAGGGAGACGAGGGAGAAGGGUGAAUGAGAGAAAGUAGACUAGAGGGAGGUAAAGUUGUUGCCUGAGGGCAUGUGUCCAGUCUAGCUCCCUCCUCUCCCUCCCCCUGCACAGUCAGUCAGUCAGUUAGACACACAGAGCAAAUAUACUCUCCCAGUCUCCCAGUGGAGUACAGGGGCAUCUCUGUCAGGACAGAGGCUCUGCUUUAUCCGCUCAGAGCAACAGGAAGGCCAGACUGCACCACCCACUAGGACCCACCUCCCACCACCACACAGGGAUACUAUGGAUCCUAACACACUGGUCAAUGGGAGAUGCUGUCCCAAGGGCAGGAGGAGAGCGAAGAAAGAGACAGUCUGGAACAGUGAGUGACUGUUGUAUCUGAGUGACUGGAUGUCUUGAGCUAGGAGGCUCUGCAAAAUAGUUUUUUUCAGAAAGGUCUGUGUGUGAAUAGUUAUUUUUCAGACAAGUCUGUGUGUGAAUAGUUGUUUUUCAGACAAGUCUGUGUGUGAAUAGUUGUUUUUCAGACAAGUCUGUGUGUGAAUAGUUGUUUUUCGGGGAGGUCUGUGUGAAUAGUUGUUUUUCAGGCAGGUCUGUGUGUGCACCUGUACAUCUGUUUAUAUGCUUUUGUGUGUGUGUAGGUCCCUGUGUGUCUGUAUGCAUAUGUCUGUCUCUCUUUGUGUGUGUCAUAUUAGGUGAGAAUUAGCACACAAGUAAGGACCACCCUCAUGAUCCCUCUCUCUCUCUCGAUCUCUCUCUCUCGAUCUCUCUCUCUCUCGAUCCCUCUCUCUCUCGAUCCCUCUCUCUCUCUCGAUCUCUCUUGAUCCCUCUCUCUCUCCCUCUCUCUCUCUCUCGAUCCCUCUCUCUCUCUCUCUCUCUC